RNAcentral lists this long non-coding RNA (357 nucleotides) under Nicotiana benthamiana. Its description in RNAcentral is "long non-coding RNA (NBEN_LNC010313)". Lineage: Eukaryota; Viridiplantae; Streptophyta; Magnoliopsida; Solanales; Solanaceae. The record is from RNAcentral.
AUUAAUUGUUUUUUAGUCCAUCAAUUUUCAGAUUUUGGAAUUAUCCAACUAAGUCUAAUAACAAUUAAUAUUCAGUUGUUGCAUGUCAAAACAUGUAACAUACUAAGUUAAGAUUCAUAUGGCUAAAAGAACUAAAGUUUUUAGCAUCUAAUAUUUUAAAUUAGUCAAUUGAAGCAUUAUGUUGCCAAAGUAAUCUCUAUUGUGUAGAUUGAUUGAUCUUGAAAUAUAAGAUGACUGUGGAUGUUAGUCUUCCAUGCGUUUAACACCGGCCCAAAGGAAGGUUGUUAUUUGUAAGGAAUUCGAACAUGCUUGUGGUGAUAAAUAUGAGACAAUUAUUUGGUUUUCCAUGUGAAUANN